Molecule: small RNA, 1008 nt
Filed under: Arabidopsis thaliana (thale cress)
Lineage: Eukaryota; Viridiplantae; Streptophyta; Magnoliopsida; Brassicales; Brassicaceae
Description: ATSL207210
Source: RNAcentral
AGGCCUACUUAUGCUGAAUGUGUGAGGUUCAUUUCAAUUUCCCUAAAACACAAACAUGUCGAUGCAGCUAUAGGGGGUGUCAAUCCAGUCCACUGUUAUUGCUAGCAAUCAAGACGUGUACAGAAGCAACUAAGUCAAGCCAGAUUAUAAUGAUGGUGGGUUUCUAGUAACAAUCCUAGGUCAUGAUUCAAACAAGUAAAAAUGAGAACUUAAGAGCCCUACUCAAUCAUUGGGUCGAGUAGAACCAACAUGUGACAAAAUUAAGUAACUAAAAUGCAAUCAACAGGGGAUACAAAUAAUAGGUAAAUAAAAGUGCAAUCAACAGGGGAUACAAAUAAAUCUAAUAGAAGUCCUAAGGAUGGAUUCAUUGAUAAAGGAAACUCUAGGGUUCAUCAGAUGGCUAAUAGGUGAAAGGUAGAUACCCUUGACGAUAGAUUCAAAAAUUGGGUCAAUCCAUUGUCGUGACAAAGGCCCCCAUAACUCUACCACUUCCUAAUCUCAACUGUCGUUGAUGAAACAUAGCAGAGCAGGUUUUAAGAAACAAUCUACCAAAGUCAAUAAGCAGACAAGCCAAUGUCUUGGUCGAGUCUACAAAUCUCUGGAAUUCGUAGAUCAGACAUCCAUUUGAAUGUCUUUUGGACGAUGGACGUCUAUGAUCGAAUCUCCACAUUAGCCAGCAAAAAUCGCAUAGGGGCCAAGCGAAUCCAGAAGGGUUCUAACCUAAUCUUAACCACCUGGCUAACCUAGAGAUUACCUUAAUCUAAUCCAUCCUCAAAAACCCUAAUCACUACUCAAGCAACAUAUCUAAGAACACAAACCCAGAAAUUACUGAAAUCAUACCAAAAUGUAGAUUAAAAGUAAUUAAGUUUAUUCAAAGAACUAAAUGCAAAAACGAAAUAGAUUAAGAGUAAUUAAGUUUUGAAGAUUCAAGAACACAAAGGAAAACUAAAGGAUAAAGGCUAGAUCCGUUGGACAAAUCCCAAAGUGAUCUAUUUAUACUAAAAUGUU